This 382-nucleotide unclassified non-coding RNA is filed under the name uncultured fungus. Its description in RNAcentral is "partial contains small subunit ribosomal RNA, internal transcribed spacer 1, and 5.8S ribosomal RNA". The stretch from base 1 to 73 matches the Rfam family "Eukaryotic small subunit ribosomal RNA", at positions 1759 to 1831 of the family's 1831-position model. Lineage: Eukaryota; Fungi. The record is from RNAcentral.
GCAAACUUGGUCAUUUAGAGGAAGUAAAAGUCGUAACAAGGUUUCCGUAGGUGAACCUGCGGAAGGAUCAUUAACACGUUCCAAAACGUAUCAACCAACCGGUUAAGUGCAAACUUACUCCCUAUGGUGGAAUAGCUGUUCAACUCUCUUUAGUGAUGGGCGAGUCUUCGGAUUCGCGAGGAGAGUUGGCUAGGGUCUCGAGCCCGGUGCUUUCUUCUGUAGGCUUUUCUCUUUUUCCCAUCACUUCCAACUAACCAAUUUCACCCUUGAAAUCUUAUUGACUAAAUCUUUCGAACGAAGAAAUUUGUUUGGAAUUGUAUAUCAACACUGUACAACUCUUAGCAAUGGAUAUCUUGGUUCUCGCAUCGAUGAAGAACGCAGC